UACGGGGGGUGCAAGCGUUGUUCGGAAUUACUGGGCGUAAAGGGCGUGUAGGCGGCUAACUGAGUCUGACGUGAAAUCCCCAGGCUUAACCUGGGAACUGCGUCGGAUACUGGAUGGCUUGAAUCCGGGAGAGGGAUGCAGAAUUCCAGGUGUAGCGGUGAAAUGCGCAGAUAUCAGGAGGAACACCGGUGGCGAAGGCGGGUCUCUGGGCCGAUACUGACGCUGAGGAGCGAAAGCGUGGGGAGCGAACAGG
Molecule: ribosomal RNA, 253 nt
Filed under: uncultured bacterium
Lineage: Bacteria
Description: partial 16S ribosomal RNA
Rfam family: Bacterial small subunit ribosomal RNA
Source: RNAcentral